CGAAGUUCUCAUUUCCCGACUAUGGAAAUGGAACAGGAAAACAUGACUGUGAGUAAGCAGUUGAGUCCCGGUGCGGCUGCGUAGGGCUGCUCGGCCUGCCAUGGCUACGAGACCUGCAGUUACAGCCACCCCAUCCGGGGCUGCGCCAAGUCUGAGAGCCUGUCCGCCUUGCCCGCCCUGGGGCGCACCAGAGUUCAGGAGGACGCGCUCUCUCCAUGGGCCAGGCCCGGUGACAACUUCUGGACCAAAGGCCGGCGUGCUGCAGAACCCCCAGACCAUCGUGCACAUUCAGGACCCCGCAAGCCAGCGACUGAUGUGGAACAAGGCUCCGAAGAGCGUCCUUGACAUCAAGAUGAGAGAUGCCAGCCUGCUGCAGCGGUUCAAGGAGCUCUGCACAUACCUCAUGGAGAACAACAUGAUCGUGUAUGUGGAAAAUACAGUGCUAGAAGACCCUGCCAUUGCCAGCGAUGAAAGUUUUGGGGCAGUGAAGAAGUUCUGCACCUUCCGAGAAGAUUAUGAUGACAUUUCCAAUCAGAUCGACUUCAUCAUCUUCCUGAGGGGAGACGGGACGCUGCUGAGCGCUUCCUCACUCUUCCAGGGCAGUGUGCCUCCGGUCAUGGCCUUCCACCUGGGCGCCCUGGGCUUCCUGACCCCGUUCAGCUUUGAGAACUUUCAGUCCCAAGUUACUCAGGUGAUAGAGGGGAACGCAGCUGUUGUCUUCCGGAGCAGUCCUGGUUGA
Molecule: non-coding RNA, 739 nt
Organism: Saimiri boliviensis boliviensis (Bolivian squirrel monkey)
Lineage: Eukaryota; Metazoa; Chordata; Mammalia; Primates; Cebidae
Source: RefSeq, a predicted model, not a curated record